RNAcentral lists this ribosomal RNA (253 nucleotides) under uncultured bacterium. Its description in RNAcentral is "partial 16S ribosomal RNA". It matches the Rfam family "Bacterial small subunit ribosomal RNA", at positions 524 to 776 of the family's 1533-position model. The record is from RNAcentral.
UACGUAGGGUGCAAGCGUUGUCCGGAUUUAUUGGGCGUAAAGAGCUCGUAGGCGGUUUGUCGCGUCGGAUGUGAAAACCCAGGGCUCAACCCUGGGCCUGCAUUCGAUAUGGGCAGACUGGAGGUAUGCAGGGGAGAACGGAAUUCCUGGUGUAGCGGUGAAAUGCGCAGAUAUCAGGAGGAACACCGGUGGCGAAGGCGGUUCUCUGGGCAUGUCCUGACGCUGAGGAGCGAAAGUGUGGGGAGCGAACAGG